CAUGUGUUGGUCUCGGCCGCAUCGCAUUCCCGGGGAUGGAUGCUACUGGGGAUUUCUCUGGUCGCUCUCUCUCUCACUCUCUCUUACCUGACUUGUUGACCGUGCUAGUGCUAGCGAUGGUGUCUUAAUUGACCCAUGUGCAAGCGUACUGGGCCACCAUCACCCCCGUUCAUUUGCUUAAUUGCUAAAAACAUUUCAGCUUUUAGCAAACUAGUUCUAGCAGCACUUCUAACAAUAUUUUAAUCUCUUUCAAAGAUAAAUUCAGUACGUCUAGAGUACUGAUUUGCGAUUGAGAAUUUUAUUCUUUCGCAAAACAAUCUCAUUGCGAUCGAGAUUAAUUUUCUCUCGUAAAAUAUUAAUUCACCUCGCUGAAUUAUCUUGCAACUUGCUACAAGAUCAUCUCAUUUAAUUUGAGGUCUAUACAAUUCAAGUUUUUCACUUGAGCAUCAAGUUUGCAACAUCAUUACUAUUCAUUGCAAUAGUAGUAUAUAUCUGUUGAGUACUGAGAUGUAUUCCAGAUCUCAAGUUGACGUAAUAUAUGUCCACGUUUAUCACGUGUCGAGAUUAAUUACGUCCAUUUGCAAUUGAAAUUUUAA
Molecule: long non-coding RNA, 596 nt
Filed under: Hordeum vulgare
Lineage: Eukaryota; Viridiplantae; Streptophyta; Magnoliopsida; Poales; Poaceae
Description: long non-coding RNA (HVUL_LNC020404)
Source: RNAcentral